AAUGAACGCUGGCGGCGUGCUUAACACAUGCAAGUCGAACGAGGCGGAGGGGGGCAACUCCUUCCAGCCGAGUGGCGGACGGGUGAGUAACACGUGGGUAACCUGCCCGGAAGUGGGGAAUACCUCGGGGAAACUCGAGCUAAUACCGCAUGACAUCUUCGGGACGAAAGUCCUGACGAUCAAAGCGGGGUCGCAAGAUCUCGCGCUACCGGAUGGGCCCGCGCCCGAUUAGCUAGUUGGUGAGGUAACGGCUCACCAAGGCUUCGAUCGGUAACCGGCCUGAGAGGGCGAUCGGUCACACCGGAACUGAGACACGGUCCGGACUCCUACGGGAGGCAGCAGUGGGGAAUCUUGCGCAAUGGGCGAAAGCCUGACGCAGCAACGCCGCGUGGAGGAUGAAGGCCCUUGGGUUGU
This 414-nucleotide ribosomal RNA is filed under the name uncultured bacterium. RNAcentral's name for it is "bacterial SSU rRNA". It matches the Rfam family "Bacterial small subunit ribosomal RNA", at positions 28 to 426 of the family's 1533-position model. The record is from RNAcentral.